AUCUUUUUUUUAUUCAUUUAUGAAUAUGAAAAUUUUUUCUUUUAUAAAGAGUGGGGGGGUUUUAAAUAUAUUCGCAAAACCUCGCUUUCGCUCGGUUUGCUUAAAAAAAUCAUUAAUGAUCCUUCCGCAGGUUCACCUACGGAAA
This 145-nucleotide unclassified non-coding RNA is filed under the name uncultured fungus. RNAcentral's name for it is "sequence contains ITS1". The record is from RNAcentral. Lineage: Eukaryota; Fungi.